RNAcentral lists this ribosomal RNA (494 nucleotides) under Cladosporium cladosporioides. RNAcentral's name for it is "eukaryotic LSU rRNA". The stretch from base 174 to 327 matches the Rfam family "5.8S ribosomal RNA". The record is from RNAcentral. Lineage: Eukaryota; Fungi; Ascomycota; Dothideomycetes; Cladosporiales; Cladosporiaceae.
CUGCGGAGGGAUCAUUACAAGUGACCCCGGUCUAACCACCGGGAUGUUCAUAACCCUUUGUUGUCCGACUCUGUUGCCUCCGGGGCCACCCUGCCUUCGGGCGGGGGCUCCGGGUGGACACUUCAAACUCUUGCGUAACUUUGCAGUCUGAGUAAACUUAAUUAAUAAAUUAAAACUUUUAACAACGGAUCUCUUGGUUCUGGCAUCGAUGAAGAACGCAGCGAAAUGCGAUAAGUAAUGUGAAUUGCAGAAUUCAGUGAAUCAUCGAAUCUUUGAACGCACAUUGCGCCCCCUGGUAUUCCGGGGGGCAUGCCUGUUCGAGCGUCAUUUCACCACUCAAGCCUCGCUUGGUAUUGGGCAACGCGGUCCGCCGCGUGCCUCAAAUCGACCGGCUGGGUCUUCUGUCCCCUAAGCGUUGUGGAAACUAUUCGCUAAAGGGUGUUCGGGAGGCUACGCCGUAAAACAACCCCAUUUCUAAGGUUGACCUCGGAUCA